AAAGUACUCCCUCCGUCCGGAAAUACUUGUCAGAGGAAUGGACAUAUCUAGACGUAUUUUAGUGUUGGAUACAUUCAUUUUUAGUCAUUUCUGCGACAAAUAUUUCCGGACGGAGGGAGUAGAGA
Triticum aestivum (bread wheat) is the source of this 125-nucleotide non-coding RNA. NCBI's taxonomy places the organism in Eukaryota, Viridiplantae, Streptophyta, Magnoliopsida, Poales, Poaceae. The record is from Rfam.